Molecule: non-coding RNA, 274 nt
Organism: Lonchura striata (white-rumped munia)
Lineage: Eukaryota; Metazoa; Chordata; Aves; Passeriformes; Estrildidae
Source: RefSeq, a predicted model, not a curated record
AGUUGAGCAAGCUGCUAAAGGAAGCUCAGGAUUAAAUAUUGAACAGAAUGGUUCCUGGAAUAACUAAAAGAAGGCAGAUAACAAACACUGCCAGUUCCCCUCACUGUCAUCAACACUGAAGUACUUUGCUGAAGCAAAAUGUUAAGAAGCUGAGACUGGACAUUUGAAGACUUAAAAGUUACUGAAUUUUCUGCCCAACUGGAUGUGGGAAAAGAUGCAGAAGAUAAUGCUCAUGUCUUACUUGUUCUCAAGAGCUCAAUAAGAGAUGAAAAAA